CGCUUGGGAACUACGAGCACAAACGCUUAAAACCCUAAGGACUUGGCGGUGUCCCAAAACCCCCUAGAGGAGCCUGUUCUAUAAUCGAUAACCCACGCUACACCCAACCCCUCCUCGCCCCAGCAGCCUAUAUACCGCCGUCGCCAGCCCACCUUAACAUGAGAGCACAGCAGUGAGCNCAAUAAUUCUCCCCCCAUUAAUAAGACAGGUCAAGGUAUAGCCCAUGGAGGGGAAGAAAUGGGCUACAUUCUCNAACUUAGAUCACACGAAAGAGGGCCUGAAACGUCCCUCAGAAGGAGGAUUNGCAGUCA
RNAcentral lists this ribosomal RNA (311 nucleotides) under Ramphastos toco. Its description in RNAcentral is "partial 12S ribosomal RNA". It matches the Rfam family "Bacterial small subunit ribosomal RNA", at positions 870 to 1341 of the family's 1533-position model. Lineage: Eukaryota; Metazoa; Chordata; Aves; Piciformes; Ramphastidae. The record is from RNAcentral.